Molecule: ribosomal RNA, 765 nt
Filed under: uncultured Thermoprotei archaeon
Lineage: Archaea; Thermoproteati; Thermoproteota; Thermoprotei
Description: bacterial SSU rRNA
Rfam family: Archaeal small subunit ribosomal RNA
Source: RNAcentral
CUAGUAGGACGGGAGGAGGUCGACCGUACUCCGAGGGUAGGCGGUAAAAUCCCUUGAUCGAGGAAGAGCAGCAGUGCGAAGGCUGUCCGCCAGUACGCGCUCGACUGUGAGGGAUGAAAGCUGGGGGAGCGAUCCGGAUUAGAUACCCGGGUAGUCCCAGCAGUAAACGAUGCGAGCUAGGUGACACGACGCCUUCGCGGCAUCGUGGUGUCAGCAGGGAAGCCGUUAAGCUCGCCGCCUGGGGAGUACGGACGCAAGUCUGAAACUUAAAGGAAUUGGCGGGGGAGCACCACAAGGGGUGAAGCCUGCGGUUCAAUUGGAGUCAACGCCGGGAACCUUACCGGGAGCGACAGCAGAUUGAAGGUCAAGCUGAAGACUUUACCAGACGAGCUGAGAGGAGGCGCAUGGCCGUCGCCAGCUCGUGCCGUGAGGCGUCCUGUUAAGUCAGGCAACGAGUGAGACCCCUACUUCUAAUUGCUAUCAGGGGCCGCAAGACCUUUGAGGCUAGUUAGAAGGACUGCCGCCGCUAAGGCGGAGGAAGGAAGGGGCCACGGCAGGUCAGUAUGCCCCGAAACUCCCGGGCCACACGCGGGCUGCAAUGGUAAGGACAAUGGGUCCCAACCUCGAAAGAGUGAGGCAAUCCCCAAACUUUACCCCAGUUGUGACUGAGGGCUGCAACCCGCCCUCACGAAUCUGGAAUCCCUAGUAACCGCGUGUCACCAUCGCGCGGUGAAUACGUUCCUAAUCCUUGUACUCACCCCCGUC